RNAcentral lists this ribosomal RNA (207 nucleotides) under uncultured bacterium. RNAcentral's name for it is "partial 16S ribosomal RNA". It matches the Rfam family "Bacterial small subunit ribosomal RNA", at positions 568 to 774 of the family's 1533-position model. The record is from RNAcentral.
UGCGCAGGCGGAAUAUUAAGUCAGUGGUGAAAUCCUGCAGCUUAACUGUAGAACUGCCAUUGAUACUGAUAUUCUUGAAUGUAGUUGAGGUGGGCGGAAUGUGUAAUGUAGCGGUGAAAUGCUUAGAUAUUACACAGAACACCGAUUGCGAAGGCAGCUCACUAAACUAACAUUGACGCUGAGGCACGAAAGCGUGGGGAGCGAACA